This 253-nucleotide ribosomal RNA is filed under the name uncultured bacterium. RNAcentral's name for it is "partial 16S ribosomal RNA". It matches the Rfam family "Bacterial small subunit ribosomal RNA", at positions 524 to 776 of the family's 1533-position model. The record is from RNAcentral.
UACGUAGGUGGCAAGCGUUAUCCGGAUUUACUGGGUUUAAAGGGAGCGUAGGUGGAUUGUUAAGUCAGUUGUGAAAGUUUGCGGCUCAACCGUAAAAUUGCAGUUGAAACUGGCAGUCUUGAGUACAGUAGAGGUGGGCGGAAUUCGUGGUGUAGCGGUGAAAUGCUUAGAUAUCACGAAGAACUCCGAUUGCGAAGGCAGCUCACUGGACUGCAACUGACACUGAGGCUCGAAAGUGUGGGUAUCAAACAGG